CCUACGGGUGGCAGCAGUCGAGAAUCAUUCACAAUGGGGGCAACCCUGAUGGUGCGACUCCGCGUGGGGGAAUGCAGGUCUCGGGUUUGAAACCCCUUGUCAUGUGGGAGAAAAUUCAAAUGAUAGUACCACAAGAGGAUGAGGCGGCUAACUCUGUGCCAGCAGCCGCGGUAAUACCGAGGACGCAAGCGUUGUUCGGAAUUACUGGGCGUAAAGCGUGUGUAGGCUGUUUCGUAAGUCGCAUGUGAAAGGCGCGGGCUCAAGCCGCGGACGGCACAUGAGACUGCGAGACUAGAGUAAGGGAGAGGGAACCGGAAUUCUCGGUGUAGCAGUGAAAUGCGUAGAUAUCGGGAGGAACACUCGUGGCGAAGGCGGGUUCCUGGACAGUAACUGACGCUGAGGCACGAAGGCCAGGGGAGCGAAAGGGAUUAGAUACCCGUGUAGUC
RNAcentral lists this ribosomal RNA (446 nucleotides) under uncultured bacterium. RNAcentral describes it as "partial 16S ribosomal RNA". It matches the Rfam family "Bacterial small subunit ribosomal RNA", at positions 338 to 795 of the family's 1533-position model. The record is from RNAcentral.